GGCUCUGGUCUUCGUUAUGUUUUUCAGUGUCGGGUGGAGUCUACAUCCUGUCGCAUCUCUGCUGGGAAGGCGGAGGAAUUUUUUUUUUUUUUGUACUAGUUUCUCAUUGACUAUUUGACACAGCCCGAGACACCGAGAUACUCCAUAAAAAAUGACGACGACCACCACCUUUCAAGGAAUGAGCCCCGGUUCUAAGAGCAGUUCCAGGGUACUACGACCGCCAGGAGGGGAAUCCAGCUUCUCCCUAGGCACAGACGACAAUACAACCCCCCAGCGCAAGAGCAAGAUGGCCUCCAGCAUCUUUGCAGAACCUGAGGACCCGCAUGCUCAUCGGAGGAACAAUCCACCCAGUGGGGCACCCACAGGAACCCUGUGCGGCGAGCCCUCGGCCCCACUGAGGCGGUGCCAGCAGCCUCUUCUUUUCCCCAAGAACCCUCAACCGGAACUGACCACCAUCCACAACUCUGGGGCAGCCUUGGUCUGGACCCAGAGACAAGAGGUUGAAAAUGGGGAAGAACAAGCAAAUGAUGAGUGUCUUGAUGAUGUGGAGCAGCAGGAGGAGAUGCCACAACCCUCUGACCCAUUGGGAGGUGGCCAAAGAAAAGAAAAAGCUUUUUAAAGAUAAAUACCCCCACCACUCUCUUCUUCCUCAUCAACCUGUCACCUUCUUCCCUCCUUCACCUACUUCACUACUACUUUCUUUUUUUGAUCCAGUAGUGCAUCGUGCAAUUACAUUUAGCUUUUCCCUUAUUCUUCCCUGGAAAAAAAUGAAAUAUUAACAAACAUUUGACGUGUGUUUUUAUAAAUACAAUAAAGAUGGAAAUGAAUUUCCUGUGGCUAAUUCUUUUUCUUUCUUUUUUAUGUAUUAACAGUCAUAAAAUAAGUAAAAUAAUAUAGAUAAAGACAUGUAAACUUACAGCAUAGAUAAAUAAUUGUCUGAUUAAUAGGAUGUGUUAAAAGACUGUGGUUAAAAUACAUAUUUUUCAUUGUGGUAAAAGAUCAAGUUUAUUGGUAAGAGUGUUAAAAAUGCACAUUUUAUUUUAUGAUAAUUUGAUAGAGUAUAUUUCUAAAGAAGUGUAUCUAGUCCCAAUUUAAUGGAGCUGACUGAUAAUAAUUUGAUUUAGCCUUCCUCAUAGUGCAAGUUGUUAGAGCAGUUGUUUCGAAACAGGGAGCGUCUACCCUCUGGGUGCGGUCCAUUUUGGGCAUAUGUGAGGCACAGAUAUGUACGGUAUAGACGGUAGUAAAUUAAUAUAUACUAUAGAGCAGAUAUAAAUGGACAGUGGCAUGGAUAUGAAUUGGUAUGUGAGAGCAUGAAUAGUGCAGUUAAGUCUAUGUGACAGCUGAAGGGAGAACGCCGUUCCUGAGCCUGUUGGUCCUGAGAGAGUCCUGUAGCGCCUCCCAGAGUCCUGUUGAUACAGAGGGUGUUUGCCCUACCAUUGGUCUUUCUGAAGUCCACAAUGAUCUCUUUAGUCUUCUUGGUGUUAAGAGCCAGGUUGUUAUCGGCACAAGUUCUCUUUGUACACCGACUCAGGCCAACCACUGUUGUGUCGCCUAUAAACUUGAUAAUGGUAUUGGAACCAUGAACAGGCAUGCAGUCGUAGGUGAAGAGGGAGCAGAGGAGAGGGCACAGCACACGGUCCUGUGGGACUCCAGUGUCCAGGUUAAAGGGUUGAGGAGGUGUGGUUGUCUAACCUAACAGACUGAGGUCUGUUGGUGAGAAAGUCCAGUAUCCAGCUGCAGUGGGAGGUGUUAAUGCCCAGGUCAAUGAGUGUGGUGAUCAGAUUAAAGAGGAUGGUGGUUUAUAUAAAUAAACAGCAUUCAGCGCUGUGGAGAUGGCAUCCUCUGCACUCUUGUUCUUCACUGCAGGCUGCAGCACAAUGGAUGAAUGAAUGCAAGACUCUUCCGUGUAGACAGACUUGAAACAAAUCGACAGAUACCUACCGAGACUAACCCACUAGAGGGCAAUACAAACGUUGUAAAGUGGUCUACAACCCAGCGCUAAAACUAAACUUUUGACCUACUUUCAGUGUGGAUGUGUUUUGACGCCUUAUCUCAAUAGAAAAAAAACGUAUCAACCAAUGCAGAAGUCUUUCCUUGUAUCUGAUGUUUCAGAGAGGUCUAAGGAAGAAGAGUUUUUGAGACAGCCAACAUUAUUAUUGUAGUGACAAGUUCAGAUUAGAACUGCAAAUCUCACAUUUUUGGAGUAAUUAAAUGUAGGGAAGUAUGAAAUCAUAAAGCUUUAUCAAGUCUGGGAUGACCGUGCUACUUUUUGUCUCUGUCUAAGUAGAAUCUAUCUGAAACAUGGCAUUGUGGGAUAUUAACAACACAGCUGUGUUAUCUACUCUGAAAAUACUCAUCUUUAAAACAUACAGUAUAUUGUACAGCCCUGUUUAUCAAUACACAGCCUGUAUAAAGAUUACAUUUUUUGUGACAGCUCUUCUGUUCUUUCUUACUUUUAGAUUUGGAUCUUAUCUAAUUUUUAAUAGUGAUUAAAUGUAACUAAGCACAUUCAAGUACUGUACUAAAGUAAAAAGAAAUGUUACUACUUUGUAUUUUUACUCCACAAAUUUUUUUUUAAACAACUUUAAUAACUUUAAGGAUUAAGAUUUUACUUUAGGAUACAUUUAUACAAUACAAUGGACUGUUCAACAGCAGUUCAACCAAAGAGACAUUUCAGGUCUAAACUCCUUAAAAAGCUUAAUUCAAAUCAAACUCAAACAUUAAAAAACAACCCUUUUUUUAUACUUUACAUAUAUUUUUCUGAUGAUACUUCUGUACAUUUACUUGUAGUAGAAUAUAAGAUCUUAAAACUUCUUCCUCCAGUGGCUUUCAAGCACUCUGGUUAUCCUCAUGUUUGUUUGACUCUGUUGCUGCAACAGAGACCUUUCACCCUCUGCUAACAUUGCAGUUGCACUAGUGCAAGCUCUUUAUGAUAAAUGCAGACUAGUGUUCCUCCCAACUUUAAACACAAGUGGUUCAACCUCAGAAAAAAAGUUGUUACUUUUCACUGUAUCUAAACUGGGGCUUUGAUCUUCUCGCCCACAUUAGACACUGAUGUAGGUCACGUGAUGCUUUUUGUAAAUGUGUUAGAUGAUGUGGUUGAAAACACAUGCACAUUUCCUACUGAGGAGUUAGAAUUCAAGUGAACCUUGUGUGUCUGUCAUCAUGUCCGCUGUCUGGUUAAAGCUCAUAACCAUCCUUUGUCUCUCCUGCACAGCCCUGAGUGGACCAGACAGUGAAGUGUUAUGGAAAGAUGUUGGAGGAUCCUUCACUAUCCAGUGCAGAGCUCCUGAGCCAGAACAAGACUCACUGACACUGAAGAAAGGUCUCAGCAAGGACAUCGAUGUUUUCCACAAACCCAGCGGCUCAGACAAAAAUACCACUGCUGAACAAUUCAAGUACAGACUUCAGUUCAAUGGAAAAUUCCCCAACGUGGACAUUCUCAUCAAAAACUUGACCUCUAACGACACAGGACCCUACUGGUGCUGUUACGCAAAGUUUGAUCUGAACACCGCUACAGUCAUACACAAGAAAGGGACCGGGUCUGUGCUCCUGGUGGUGUCAGGAACAGAAACAAAACAGAAGCAGUGUGACCCAUCGUCAGAUAAGAAUCUGGUCCUGGUGUCUGUUGUGAUCUCUGCUGCUGUGCUGCUUGGCAUCGUCAUCGGUUUCUUCAUAUGGAUCACCCUCAAGACCAAGACUUUGCGUAACACAGUGAAACCAAGACACGUCACCACAAAUGAUGUUUAUGAGGACAUGCGAGGAACACUCAGACGCUAAGGAUGUCGGCCUGCCAGCGACCAACCUGAAACUCCUGUCUCUGCACCACUGAGGUGCAAGUGAUGCAUCUAAAGCAAUGUAGCAACUCGGUAUGUUCUCCAACAUGCUCUGAUAUCUCUUCAGGCCAUGUGUAUGUCUGAGUGUAUGUCAGUGACACACGGUUAUGACAAAGAGGUCCAUUAAUUGCUAAAAGGUACACCGUGGAAAACUGCAUUGCCAGUGAACGUUUUGGCAAGAUGCGUGAAAAUACAUAACACAACUCCAUUUGAAAGUAGUAGAGACACACAAAUGUUAGUUUGUGAUGUCUUUCAAAACUGGAUUGUACCCUGUGACCCUCACAUGUGACACUGAUAUGUAACUUUAAUGUAAAUAUGUCUUUAAUUUCAGUCAUUCCUUGUUUUUGCAGAUGGUUUAUUUGCUGUAUUACUAAAGAGUUACUUUGAAACCUAUAAAAUGUGUGUACUGUGUAAUAUAACAAUAAUAGCUGUAAUUUGCCAUGUACAUAAAUAAAACAAUUCAUAUGUGGGAUUAGAA
Dicentrarchus labrax (European seabass) is the source of this 4314-nucleotide RNA transcript. It is a transcript of the gene named jupiter microtubule associated homolog 1, with no coding region annotated. Lineage: Eukaryota; Metazoa; Chordata; Actinopteri; Moronidae. The record is from RefSeq and is a predicted model, not a curated record. The transcript is spliced from 8 exons.